Long non-coding RNA from Patella vulgata (common limpet), 787 nucleotides. RefSeq lists it as uncharacterized. The transcript is spliced from 4 exons. The record is from RefSeq and is a predicted model, not a curated record. NCBI's taxonomy places the organism in Eukaryota, Metazoa, Mollusca, Gastropoda, Patellidae.
GAAUCGGAAUUCAGUAUUCGUUACAUUUCAUAAAUAAACUCUCCCAAUAAACAUAAACUUCCGGUGUAGGAAAGCACAUGUUUGUUUGUUUACAACAUAUUUACAGGAAAGAGUUUAUAAUGGGGAAGAAUAAAAAGGGUAAAAAGGCAGCAACUGUUUCCACAGACAAGAAACCUGGUGGUGUAAAGAAGCAUAAAGCUAAACCAGUGGCUACCAAUCUUAAAAGGUUAAAUCAGAUCAAUAAGACUAAAACAGAAUGUUUAGAUAAAAACUAUUCUGGUUUUAGAAAUUCGGUUAUAAAAUCCGCUCAGGAAUCGAAGAAAGCUAAAAAUAAACCAGCAGUGAAAGAACAGGUACAUCCGGUUAGAGAUGAACCCAAACCAACACCAGAUAUUGAUGAAACUAUGAUGGACUUAUCCAAGUUAUGAUGGAAUUAAUUAGAGAACAUUUACUAACUUCCUCUUCUGAUAUCGGAUAUCAACAGAAAAUGCAAAAGGCACCUUUGAUUUAAAAUUCACUACAGAUUGCUAAUUGAAAACUCUUUGAUUUCAUAUUGUUUGUCUUCUUCUUUUUAAAUUUGAAAGUAUAUAUCCGCCAUAACUGUAAAUAUGUAUACAACGCCAGGGUACCAAAAUAUAGAAAAUUUUGAAAUUUGUCAAUUCCGAGAACGCUGUUUAGAGCGCCUCUAGCAUUCCAAAUUCCAACAUGAAACCCUUUAAAAUACAUGAUAAUGAAAGAGACAAAAGCCUGAUUAUAAAUGAAUAGACUAGUAAAAAGGUUGAAAACU